Molecule: ribosomal RNA, 497 nt
Filed under: uncultured bacterium
Lineage: Bacteria
Description: partial 16S ribosomal RNA
Rfam family: Bacterial small subunit ribosomal RNA
Source: RNAcentral
GAUGAACGCUGGCGGCGUGCCUAAUACAUGCAAGUCGAGCGAACGGACGAGAAGCUUGCUUCUCUGAUGUUAGCGGCGGACGGGUGAGUAACACGUGGAUAACCUACCUAUAAGACUGGGAUAACUUCGGGAAACCGGAGCUAAUACCGGAUAAUAUUUUGAACCGCAUGGUUCAAAAGUGAAAGACGGUCUUGCUGUCACUUAUAGAUGGAUCCGCGCUGCAUUAGCUAGUUGGUAAGGUAACGGCUUACCAAGGCAACGAUGCAUAGCCGACCUGAGAGGGUGAUCGGCCACACUGGAACUGAGACACGGUCCAGACUCCUACGGGAGGCAGCAGUAGGGAAUCUUCCGCAAAGGGCGAAAGCCUGACGGAGCAACGCCGCGUGAGUGAUGAAGGUCUUCGGAUCGUAAAACUCUGUUACUAGGGAAGAACAUAUGUGUAAGUAACUGUGCACAUCUUGACGGUACCUAAUCAGAAAGCCACGGCUAACUACGUG